RNAcentral lists this small nuclear RNA (149 nucleotides) under Neogale vison (American mink). Its description in RNAcentral is "Neovison vison (American mink) U4 spliceosomal RNA (ENSNVIG00000005254.1)". The stretch from base 1 to 72 matches the Rfam family "U4 spliceosomal RNA". The record is from RNAcentral. Lineage: Eukaryota; Metazoa; Chordata; Mammalia; Carnivora; Mustelidae.
AGCUUUGCGCAGUGGCAGUAUCGUAGCCAAUGAGGUUUAUCCAAGGCGCGAUUGUUGCUAAUUGAAGAAAAAGUGGACAAGGAAGCUGGGAAGAUGACGGCAGACAAAUGCACAAACAAUUGCUCCUGGGUUGAACCCUAUGAACAAAG